RNAcentral lists this microRNA precursor (84 nucleotides) under Bombyx mori (domestic silkworm). RNAcentral describes it as "mir-2807 microRNA precursor family". It matches the Rfam family "mir-2807 microRNA precursor family". Lineage: Eukaryota; Metazoa; Arthropoda; Insecta; Lepidoptera; Bombycidae. The record is from Rfam by way of RNAcentral.
UGAACUCAAAUUUGUAUGGAGUUGGAACGUUUGCGUACGUUUGCCGCUAGGGGCGCUGUACCAAUUGCAUACAAAUUUGAGUGA